UACAGAGGUCCCAAGCGUUGUUCGGAUUUACUGGGCGUAAAGGGCGCGUAGGCGGCCACCGCAAGUCAAUUGUGAAAUCUCCGGGCUUAACUCGGAAAGGUCAACUGAUACUGCGGGGCUAGAGUGCGGAAGGGGCAACUGGAAUUCUCGGUGUAGCGGUGAAAUGCGUAGAUAUCGAGAGGAACACCUGCGGCGAAGGCGGGUUGCUGGGCCGACACUGACGCUGAUGCGCGAAAGCCAGGGGAGCGAACGGG
RNAcentral lists this ribosomal RNA (254 nucleotides) under uncultured bacterium. RNAcentral describes it as "partial 16S ribosomal RNA". It matches the Rfam family "Bacterial small subunit ribosomal RNA", at positions 524 to 776 of the family's 1533-position model. The record is from RNAcentral.